UUUAAAAGUAACUGGAAAAAAAGUUAAUUAAUAGACAGUCACCGCAAAAUGAAGACAAUCCACAAAUACAUGUUGAAACGGAAACAACAAUUGAACACAAAAUGAAGAUAUCUGACAAAAAAAGUAUGCAAGUACGGUUAUAUUCAUUAGCAAACAAAACAAAAUAUAGAACAUGUUUGUCCACCUUGUCUAGGUCACCUAAGGGAUUGCGUUUUCAAUAUUCAUAUUCAUUUUGAUAAAAAAUUAUUUAAUAUUGGCUUUAUUUCCACCAAACACCCAACAUAUAUUAAUACCACUUUCAUUUCCUUUUUUUAAUUAGAAAAUAGUUUUUAGUUUAAUGGUACACAAAUGUUCAUUUCUUCAAAACAAACUAUUCAAUAAAUGAAACAAUAAACACUCACUUCAUUUGUAUGUUUUAUGUGCUAUAACAAAUACACGCUAAGUGUGCAAAGUUAGUAAACACACAGCAUAAAAGCGAAUAAUCGAUUGUACACGUCACUUUUGCAAAAUAUCUUUGCAUAUGUUUAAUUUGUAAAAAUAUUUCUUUGAGGUUCAAUAUGUAGAAGGUGUUCCUUGAAGUGAACAGUGCAUUUUCUUCUUCACUAAAAUAUCCUUGUGAAAUCUCAGGGUUGGUCCUACAUACGAACUAUCAGAUUCAUCAAAAUUUCAAUUGUCAAACCUCAUAUAAUAAAUGUGUGAAAAAUUUUGUACUAUGUCCAAAAAUCGAGAGCCUUUUUGUUUCAAAACCAAACUUUAAAUAUAUUUGUGAAAACUUUAGGUCAUAUAAGUAUUGUUCAGUUCAGUAAUCAAUCUUAUACCAGGGCUUUGAUAUACUAUUUUCUCAUUUUUCUCGUUAAUUAUU
Leptinotarsa decemlineata (Colorado potato beetle) is the source of this 862-nucleotide long non-coding RNA. The record is from RefSeq and is a predicted model, not a curated record. NCBI's taxonomy places the organism in Eukaryota, Metazoa, Arthropoda, Insecta, Coleoptera, Chrysomelidae.